Molecule: non-coding RNA, 81 nt
Organism: Potamilus streckersoni
Lineage: Eukaryota; Metazoa; Mollusca; Bivalvia; Unionida; Unionidae
Source: the annotation of a GenBank genome assembly
GAAUGCUCCAAUGGCUUAAGUGGUUAGAGCAUUUGCUUUAGAUGCAGGAGGUCACUGGUUCAAACCCCAGUCAAGUCUUCA